GUUUUAAACAUACAUCCCUUUUUAAUGAUUUUUAAAAAAUGGGUAAACAUAAUAAUGGUUGUAACCUCACUUUGGAAGAAAGUGCGUCCCUUAAAGGAUUCAGAGAAAAUGAUCAAAUUGUCAUCAACCCCACAGAUAAGGGCGGUAGUUUGGUGAUAAUGGAUUCUAACAAGUAUGUGGCAGAAUGCACAUGACAGUUGGAGGAUACGGAGGUAUAUACCAAAUUAAAUGGAGACCCUUUGGAAAAAAUAUGAGGAGGUCCUUGACAUGACUUUU
Molecule: non-coding RNA, 276 nt
Organism: Pelobates cultripes (western spadefoot toad)
Lineage: Eukaryota; Metazoa; Chordata; Amphibia; Anura; Pelobatidae
Source: the annotation of a GenBank genome assembly